UUCAUUAUUUCCAAAAUCCAAAUAAAUUGCAAAGUUCAUCCUCUCCCAAAAUAUUCUUUCUCUAGAAACUUAAGGAAGAAGAAGAAGGAGAUUCAAGUUAGGAUUCAAGAAGGAAGGUUCUUCAUAUCAAAUCCAUUGGGCUUUAUUGUUAAGGGUUCGGUUCUUGAGGUGAUCAUUCUCGUGGCUAGACUUGGACUUGAUUGUUUUCCGAGCUUGGGCUUUUGCUAGAAGGAAUGAUGAAGACAAUGUGAACCAAGGAGCUCCUUCUCAAGCUCCUCGAGCUUUGAUUGAUCUCGAGAAUGUAACAAAUGAGGAGUUUAGGGGGCCUUUCAAGUUUUGGCUCAAGCCGUAUAUAUAGCUAAUAAUAGUGGUUCUUAUGUUAUAUCUCACAUGGUCUCAUGUUGAUUAAGAUUUAUUUCCACAACAAUAACAAGAAUAUGAUUUUAUGAACAAUAGUUACUCAAUAAGUUGUGUGUAUGAGUUUUAAAAGGCUUUUAAUAUGAUGGUGAUUAUGUUGGCUAUGUUUUA
Molecule: long non-coding RNA, 528 nt
Organism: Solanum lycopersicum (tomato)
Lineage: Eukaryota; Viridiplantae; Streptophyta; Magnoliopsida; Solanales; Solanaceae
Source: RefSeq, a predicted model, not a curated record